This 491-nucleotide ribosomal RNA is filed under the name Lactococcus cremoris subsp. cremoris TIFN5. RNAcentral's name for it is "bacterial SSU rRNA". It matches the Rfam family "Bacterial small subunit ribosomal RNA", at positions 1 to 476 of the family's 1533-position model. The record is from RNAcentral. Lineage: Bacteria; Bacillati; Bacillota; Bacilli; Lactobacillales; Streptococcaceae.
AUUUGAGAGUUUGAUCCUGGCUCAGGACGAACGCUGGCGGCGUGCCUAAUACAUGCAAGUUGAGCGAUGAAGAUUGGUGCUUGCACCAAUUUGAAGAGCAGCGAACGGGUGAGUAACGCGUGGGGAAUCUGCCUUUGAGCGGGGGACAACAUUUGGAAACGAAUGCUAAUACCGCAUAACAACUUUAAACAUAAGUUUUAAGUUUGAAAGAUGCAAUUGCAUCACUCAAAGAUGAUCCCGCGUUGUAUUAGCUAGUUGGUGAGGUAAAGGCUCACCAAGGCGAUGAUACAUAGCCGACCUGAGAGGGUGAUCGGCCACAUUGGGACUGAGACACGGCCCAAACUCCUACGGGAGGCAGCAGUAGGGAAUCUUCGGCAAUGGACGAAAGUCUGACCGAGCAACGCCGCGUGAGUGAAGAAGGUUUUCGGAUCGUAAAACUCUGUUGGUAGAGAAGAACGUUGGUGAGAGUGGAAAGCUCAUCAAGUGACGGU